This 536-nucleotide long non-coding RNA is filed under the name Anas platyrhynchos platyrhynchos (common mallard). RNAcentral's name for it is "lncRNA (ENSAPLG00000027440.1)". Lineage: Eukaryota; Metazoa; Chordata; Aves; Anseriformes; Anatidae. The record is from RNAcentral.
CACUGCUAUAAUGUCUAGAAAGCCAAGCUGGACAGUUUGAAUAUCACAAAUAUCAAGCAGUAUCUUGUAAUAGGACCUGAAGUGUCCUAAACACCAUGGCUUUCUCUUACGUGUUGACUUCAUGAGUGUUGGUUGUUGUUACGGAGAUCUGACACCAUACUUAAAUGAUUGAAGUUGAGCAAUUCCCAGUGACAUUGAUUUCGAUUGAAUUUGUUAGCUAGUGCCCAGCAGUAGUCAGAAAAAACCACCAAACUGAGUUAGAAGUUAUGAGGAAAGAAAUAGAAAAAAUAUGACUGUGUCUGACUAGAGCUCUGUUAAACUCUACAUCUUCGGUGCUGUGAGUGAUUCUAAUGCUCCCAUUUCAGAGCAUUGAAGAGUGUUAAAGGUGAUGAUUUAUGGAACAGCUUCCACAUGAUGAAAGAAAUAUGAUCUUCAACCUGCAGAAGAAUCAACUGAAGAAGAGUAUGAUAGAGAUCUACAGGACUGGGAAGGCAAUGAAAAAGUGGAAAAUGACAGUGCACUCCUCACAGGAAUGA